AGGAAUGCCUCCUAUCCAGCCAGAGAGAAGAACAGGUCCACCACCAGGGCACCAGCAAAGACCAACAGAGCAGAGCCUCCUGGGCAGGGUGGGGCCAUCUCCGGAAGGCAGAGAGGAUGAGGACCAGGGGCCAGAGUGAGAGCCCCCACCACAAACUCUGCAGAGGACUAAACCCUGCUCCUGCCCUGGAUGUUACAGCUGACAGCCAGCCACACCAACCUCUUCUCCAUGUGUCUCCUGUGCCCGAUAAUGGUGUGUCCCACCCAGCCUCACUGAACUCACUGCGGUUCCUUCCCUGUCCUCAGCCCUAAGCAGCAGUGAUGCACACAUGCCCUGUUGUAGUUGCAAGCUGGAGUGACCCUGCCCUCCCUCAGUGCUCAGUCCCCAUCUCACUGCUAAGCAGGGCCAAGUGUCACCCACUUCUAUGUCUCCUGUCCUGCAACCUAGUAGGGGCUCAAUAAAUGGACAAACAGCGAGUAGUUUCUUCUCUGGUACAGAGCAGAGAGCAGGAAUGGCCUGGGCUCUACACCCUGCCCAGUGAUUUGGCAACGCAGGCCGGAGUCAGGCCUUUCCUGAACUGCA
Long non-coding RNA from Canis lupus familiaris (dog), 582 nucleotides. RefSeq lists it as uncharacterized. NCBI's taxonomy places the organism in Eukaryota, Metazoa, Chordata, Mammalia, Carnivora, Canidae. The transcript is spliced from 3 exons. The record is from RefSeq and is a predicted model, not a curated record.